Long non-coding RNA from Exaiptasia diaphana, 432 nucleotides. RefSeq lists it as uncharacterized. NCBI's taxonomy places the organism in Eukaryota, Metazoa, Cnidaria, Anthozoa, Actiniaria, Aiptasiidae. The transcript is spliced from 4 exons. The record is from RefSeq and is a predicted model, not a curated record.
AUUUUAAUGGUUCGUGCAACGGUAUUAAACAAACUUUACAAGCCGUUGACAAUCAUUCAAGAUUACGGAGUUGUAUGCAACACAUCCCUGAGGCUGAUCUAUUUCGACUGUCAAAGAAUUAUUUUUCAAGAUGAAGAAGUUUCUGGUAAUCGCUCUGAUUGUAAUGUUGGCUGUGGCUUUUGUUGCUCCAAGUGAGCACAAACUGCACAAGGAAGAGAAGAAUGAAGAGGAUGCAGCCGAGUGUACUACCGACGCUGACUGUAAAAACAAACGUGGAAAGCGUUGUAUAUACGGAAAAUGUGUUUUCCCAUUGGGCAAGUGAGAGUAAAAAUGCAUUAUCGUAAGCCAAUGGGUCAGAAAUUACGAAUUGUACUUGCAAUGUUGCAUGAACGUUGAUUAAAAUUGUGCAUGUAUACUCAUCAUGCGUCAAAA